CACACCCAAAACACUGCGCCCUUCACACAUACAAUGCGUCCAAACACAUACGUAUAUAUGUGUUUGGACGUAUUGUAUGUGUGAAGGGCGCAGUGUGUAUGUGUGAA
This is a non-coding RNA of Pelobates cultripes (western spadefoot toad), 107 nucleotides long. The record is from the annotation of a GenBank genome assembly. Lineage: Eukaryota; Metazoa; Chordata; Amphibia; Anura; Pelobatidae.